This 891-nucleotide ribosomal RNA is filed under the name uncultured bacterium. Its description in RNAcentral is "bacterial SSU rRNA". It matches the Rfam family "Bacterial small subunit ribosomal RNA", at positions 505 to 1397 of the family's 1533-position model. The record is from RNAcentral.
GUGCCAGCAGCCGCGGUAAUACGAAGGUCCCGAGCGUUGUUCGGAAUCACUGGGCGUAAAGGGAGCGUAGGCGGCGCGGUAAGUCAGAUGUGAAAUCCCGGGGCUCAACCCGGAACUGCAUCCGAUACUGCCGUGCUAGAGGACUGGAGAGGCAACUGGAAUUCUCGGUGUAGCAGUGAAAUGCGUGGAGAUCGAGAGGAACACUCGUGGCGAAAGCGAGUUGCUGGACAGUAUCUGACGCUGAGGCUCGAAGGCCGGGGGAGCGAAAGGGAUUAGAUACCCCUGUAGUCCCGGCAGUAAACGGUGUGCGCUUGGUGUGAGGGGAAUCGACCCCCCUUGUGCCGGAGCUAACGCGUUAAGCGCACCGCCUGGGAAGUACGGUCGCAAGACUAAAACUCAAAGAAAUUGACGGGGACCCGCACAAGCGGUGGAGUAUGUGGCUUAAUUCGAUGCAACGCGAAGAACCUUACCUGGGCUUGACAUGCAUCUCUAAUCGCGUGAAAGCGCGUGACCCUUCGGGGGAUUUGCACAGGUGCUGCAUGGCCGUCGUCAGCUCGUGUCGUGAGAUGUUGGGUUAAGUCCCGCAACGAGCGCAACCCUUGUGAACAGUUGCCAGCGGUUCGGCCGGGAACUCUGUUCAGACUGCCCAGAUCAACUGGGAGGAAGGUGGGGACGACGUCAGGUCAGUAUGGCCCUUACGCCCAGGGCUGCACACGUACUACAAUGCCCAGUACAAUGAGAGCCGAGACCGCGAGGUGGAGGAAAUCUGAAAAACUGGGCCCAGUUCGGAUUGGAGGCUGCAACUCGCCUCCAUGAAGUUGGAAUCGCUAGUAAUGGCGCAUCAGCUACGGCGCCGUGAAUACGUUCCCGGGUCUUGCACACACCGCCCGU